UUCUUUGAUCAAAAGAGAUAAAAAAGUUGUAAUGGUUUCUUUCUGUAACCCAGUUAAUCAUUAUCGUGGGGGUGCAGUCACUGCUCCGUGUGCCUUCGUUAACACAAGAGCAGGCUCGGAUCCAAGUUUUGUGGAACUUGGGACUGUUACAACUUCUGGGGAAAGGAAACUCUUUAAGAAAAAGAGCACACACACAAAUCUUACUUUUGCAACUUCUUACAAACUCUGUGAUCCUAGCAACACGGUCCUGGGUCCUCCCAGAGUGGCUCCCAGGGUGAUGGGAGAGGAUUCUGGGGGCGGGGGGCCCGGCACCCCCAGCAAGGAGGACGGCCUGCCUCCAGAUCGUUCUCUUCUUACAGGCCUGUCCUCGACGUCUGUCCCGUUUCUCUCUGCGGCUCUCACACGCCCCUCUGCUCGCCUGAACCCGUCCGCCCGGACGCCACGCGGGGCCGCCCAGGAGAAACCAGCGGCAGAAUUCUUUGAAACAAAGACGUAACCACGGACCUGCGGCUCCGAAGGCGGCCGAGGUACACGCCACGUUUACCCAGCAUGCCUCGGGCGGCCCCAGGACAGGCUGGCUGCGGCCACGUGACUGGGCCGCUCGUGAUCACGUCACGCGGCCGCGCACAAGCCCCGAUCUGCGGCUGCGCGGGGAGGGGCCCCAGAGGCGGGAAGGCCCGGGGGCUGCCGGCCGGUUGCAGGCCGGGCUGGCCUGGUCGCGGGAAGAGCUUGCCGCCUGCGUGGUUUGGGGACCGAUGCCCAUCCGGCCCGCGCGGCCUCGUCCUGCAGCCCGGGCCUGCGCCUGCGCCUGCGUUCCUUCCUUCCUGACAGGUAGGAGCCGAUUUGGGGGCGCAGGGAGCCAGGCGUGCUGGAAAGAACCUAAAAGAAACCGGAGGAACCUUCUAGAAUGUGUGUCUGAAUGAGCUCUGGGAACACUGACCAUACAAAAAUCAGGUUAGACGAUGGUCAAUGAAGCUGAAUAGCCAAUGAUGUCCAUAAAUAAACAGAGCCUCACGCUCCCGCCAUUUUAUACUUCGUUACUUCAGAUGUCCCAAGGCCUGCGGUCUUACCCUUGGCGAAGCCAGUUUAGAGGAAGAGAGAGCCAAAGGGAAAGAAAGGGAACCGUGUCGUAGGUUUAGCUCAGCGCUCUCUGUUUUACCAAAUCCUUAAAUGCUGUGGGCUGAAAAACCGAGUCGGAGAGAAUUUAUACGUGACCUAAGUUAGAACAUAAGUCAAGUCAGUAUAUAUCAAGGACAGAACGUGGCCUCAGAUCUCUCUGAACACAAAGAAGGCUUUUACCAAGAGUAGCUUCAGCAUGUUGAGACUGCGGGCUGCUGUCAGGAUGCCUGACUUCUUCUCUGCACCUCCGUCCCUUCUCAGAUGUCCUUCUGAUGAGCUUCCCAUGAAACUGGAAUGUUCUACUUCAUCUCAAGAACUAAGAGUGAGGAAAGUUCACAGACAAGAUUGUGUUAAAUUCUUCUUGUCCCUUUUUCCCAGUGUCACACGUGAACGGGUCCAGUGCGGAAGGAGGAGAGCCCAGCCAGGCCGCAGGAUUUAAGGAUUUUCAGCCUGUGGAUUAAGGAAGUAGAAGUCUUAAUUUUUAGAGCCGCUCUGUCAGGCACUUUACAGCUUCCUCUUCUAAGUGCUAAGUGCCAUAAAUCUCUGGACGGCCGGUCUCCAAACUCACAUGUAAACGGUCCUGCACACGAGCAGCAAUGGCCACCGACACAAGUGAGUGACCCAUAAAUAAGGCUCACGUGUGGUCCUCGGCUGUCCCAGUCCACUGUCCAUCCACAGGCGCGGCCCUGGGCGUCUGGGGCAGAUGGCCGCACCUGCACACUUUCUGGGCACGGCGUCUGGCAGAAAGGGAGGCCCGAUGCGACAGCAUUGCUGCGGGCCUGCCUUCGUCCGGGUGCUUCUACGGUGCGGGCGGCCUUGACGACGGGUCAUCCGAGAGUGGCCGUCUGAGGCUGGGGUCCCUGGGCAGCAGCCUCGGGGGGAAUUAAGGGUUGGCUCUGUGCGGGCCCUUGCCCACUGAUGGUGAUUUAACCACGUGAAGUGGCCCUCCCGAGGCUGUCUCUGUUGGCUCUGGGAGCGUGCGAGAGCCACUGUCUUAGGACCUGCUGCAUACUUGUCUAGGACUCCUGCAUGAGGACAAGUUCACAGAUGCUCCCCCAGUGGAGGCCCAGGAUCCCAGGGAGAGGGCGAGAGCCCUGAGCUGCUGAACAAAUCCUCUGGUUGAGACGAAGGAUCUGUUUUCCACGCACCCGACUUGCUCACUCACUGAGGGCAGAGCUGGCCGAGGGUCCGCACAUCCAGCUGCUGUCUUUGACCUCUGCCUGUCCCGGGAAGUAGGCAGAAUGCAGUGAGUGGCCGUGACGUUCAGCUCCUCUCGCUGAGUUUCUACAGAGAGGACCUCAGAAUGAGGAGGAAAGUCGGAACAUUUGGAGAAUACAGAGAAGCAUCAAGAACAAAAUCAACGCCAUGCGAAAGGGGGUUAUCCAACGGAGACCGCAGUGUGGAAGGGACCUUUCAGAGCAGCAGAACGGGCAGUGGGAGGGUCCAGCUGGCCCCUCUGUCCUCCAGGCCCCUCAGCGGACCUCGCUCUCUGACCUCCCUUCUACCCCAUGGGGGUUGUUCUGCGGCAUCACCUCUGUUGCUUCUCCACAGCCAAGGACGGAAGGAAAGUUCUGUCCUCUCUCGGUCCUGCGAGUGCCGCUCGCUCCCGUGCUCGGGCAGGUCCGUCCAGCCCACAGACUCGGGAAUCUUUCUGGUGCACUACUGACCGUACCCGUUGUGAUGGCCACUUAAAAAUCCCCACAAAAGUGUCCUUAGUUUCAGAAAACGUCCUGUAAGUUCUCAGUUCUAAGAUAGUUUUGUAAGAGGAAGGCGCAAUGGAAAUGAUGGAAAUGUUGUAAUCCUACUUGUUAAAGCUGUGGAAUCAAAAGAAUGUCUUCUGCGCAGCCCUUUAAAUCCUCCAGAAGGCCCUAUGCCAGAUUUUCCUGAGCGGCCCGUUUUAAUCGCGGACCGAUCGAGAUUUUUAAUGAGAGUUUAUCUGGAAAUUGCCGGGGCAGCUUCCAUAGAUUUCCCAGCAGCGCUCCUGCCAGAGGUGAUGUGGAUUUACUCUAACUGUUGUGCUUUGUGGAAGAAGGUGUUUCACGUGAAAGGAGGUGAAUUAGAAUCUCUUGCUUCGUUUCUGGCCUGGUUUCUUGCUUCGUUUUCCUCAAAAUGAAGCCGUCAGUCUCGGUAGGAUGCGGCUCUACCUUGACUCCAGAAAAGCUCUGCUCUAAGUACUUCUGAAGUUCUGGUAUGAUCUUCUCUUUUAUUUCUUUCUUCUUGCCCUUGAGGUAGAUUUUAGGCAUUCCUAUGAAAAGAAAUGUUUCCAUCUUGAAGCAUUGCAUUUAGUGGUAAUUGUCAAGUGUUACUCUAGAGAGAGCGCCUUGCUGUGAGAGAGAGCCACGCGGUGUGUGAAACACACCCCCAGGUCCCCUUGGGGCGUGCCUUGUGCGAUGGUGGUGGAGGGGAGUGGAGGGGAGCGAGUAUCUUUACUUCCGUGAUCAAGGAAACGGAAUCCUGUCUGUCUGUCAGAGGGGAUUAGGGAAUGAUGGUCAAAGGUGUGGACCCGAUGAGAUUUUACUAGUGUCCCCAGCUAUUUCUUUCUUUGCCCUUUGCCCUCUUUCGGGGUGGGGGUGGUGAGGGGCUGCUUCUCUACAGGGUCCCUCUUCUCCCUGCCGCUAGAAGUCUUCUGUGGAGCAGGGGACCCUGAGGUGCUGUCUGCACCCAGCAAGGGCUCUCCGCAUAAGGGACCCAGAGUACUGGCCAGAAACCCUAGGCAGCCUCGGCGUCCAGGGUCUGGAUGACCUAGCAGGACUCUGGCGGCCUACAGCUGGUGCUGGCAGGGCCCGGGAGGAGCUGCAGGCUGGCCAGGGUCAGGCUGGCAGCAACAAGAGACCUUCUAGAAACUGCUCUAGAAACCACUCGUGACAGGAAAGGCGCUCCAGGGCUCUGCCUUGGUCGGGGCCCCCCGAUCGUGACCCAGCCUGGUGAGGUGAGUUGGGCUUGGCAUAGCAGGAGCUGAGCCAACUGCUGACGCCUUGAAGGACCACACGGUGCUGACAGCUGCAUUCAGUUUCUAGAAGCUUCGCGGCAUGAGCCACGGGUCUUCUGCUCCACGCGGUAUCUUCACAUGUUCUCUUUUCUGGAUGUGACUCUCAGCAUCUCAGAAAACAGGCCAGGUGUUAAUUCUCAUACUGGCAAUGGAGCAAGAGGCCGGCCCCGUCUAAACCCUGGCUGGUCACUUCGGCCUCGAAACGCCAGUAGCGCUUUUGGCUGUGGCACCCACUCACGUUUUUGUAGCUGUGUUAUUGGUGAUGAUGACAGUGAUGGUGAGAUAUACACAGAAGUUACGGCAACCGCUUUCAAGUGUAUGGUUCGGGGCAUCCCAUUCACGUUAAUGUGCAACCGUCCCCACCGCCCACCUCUAGGACUCUUGUUAACCCCAAACUGAAAUUUUUGCUACCUUGUUUUUUGAAUUUUUGAAUUAUCCUAUUCUGUGUCUUGCCAAAUAGACUGUCCAUCUCUUGAGGAUAGAACAGAGCGUGCACAGGUCCCAUCGUGUGUCUCACACGUAAUCAGAGCUCCAGUAUGUGUUCGGUGACGCCAGCGUGCAGCUUUAUGGUAGAGUCUGCUUGUUUCUCAGCAACCUUUUUUUCUCAGCCUCCUCACCCACGGACCCCUGUUUAUUAAAAUUAACCACAACUCUCAGAUGGCAGGUGACUGGGUCAGGACUGGGCCCCUGGCCCAAGAAGGACCAAAUAUAGUCUUCACGGCCUGGAUUUGGGACAGUCUCUUUUACUUGAGUAUGUGCCAGGAAAUGUAACAUUGAACUGAAGAGCUGUGGUAUCCCUAAAAUUGCAGAUAGAGGAGAAUCUGGGAUAAGAUGCAAGAGAAAGAAUGUACGUGUGAGAGAGAGUUCGUGUGUGUGUGUGUGAGAGAGAGAGAGAGAGAGAGAAUGUGAGAGUCUGUUAGAAAAUGUGUGUGAAAUUAAAUGUGUGAGAGACUGUAUAAAAGAGUGUGUACACAUGUAGGUAUGUGAGAGGGUGUGAAAGUGUGUGGGAGCUGUGUAAAAUGGAAUUGUGAGAGUGUGGGAGAGAAUGAAAGUUGUAUAAGAGAAUGUGUGUGUGCAAUGGCAUGUAUCUGAGAGGAUGUGUAAGUGGAAAUAUGUGAGAAAAUGUGUGUAUGAGAGACUGAGGGUGUGUGUGGGAGAGAUCAUGUGUAUUGUGCGUGUGAGAGAGUGAUUGUGAGAGUGCCUGUGGGAGAAUGUGUGUGAGACAGAAUUAUGUGUUGAAUGUGGGAGAGAGAGGAUUAUGUAAGAGUUUGUAAGAAUGUGAAAAAAUGUGAGAUACUUUGUGUGCAUGUGUGUGAGAUAAUGUGGAUGUGAGAAAAUGUGUGAGAGACUGUGUGUGGUAAGGUAUGUGAAAAGGUGAGUGUGAGGUGAGUGUGUGUGCAAGAAUGGAAAAGAAUGUGAGAAUGUGUGUGCAAAAAUGUGAGAGUUUGUUAGAAAACGUGUGUGAAAUUAAAUGUGAGAAUGUGUGUAAAAGAGAAUGCAAAAAAUGUAAGAAUGUGAGACAGAGAAUGUGUGUGUGAUAGAAUAUAUGAGAGACUAUGUGUGUGACUGAAAAUGCAUGUGAGAGCAUCUGCAUGAAAGGGAAUUGUGAGACUGUGUGAGAGACUAUGAGAGUAGUAGAAGAGAAUAUAUAUGUGCGAUAGCAUAUAUGUGAGGAUGGGUGAAAAUAUUUGUGAGAAAGUAUGUAUGAGAGACUGUGAUGGUGUGUCUGUGACAUGAUGUGUAUUGUGUAUGUGAGAGAAUAUGCGUGAGACAAUUGUGUGUUGAAUGUGAGAGAAUUGUGAGAAUUAUGUAAGGGUAUGUAUUUGAGAAUAUGAGAAAACGUGAGAUACUAUGUGUUUGAGAGUGUGUGUGGUAAUGUGUGUGAAAUAGGCUGUGAGUGGGGUUGUGUGUGCAAAAGUGAAUGAGAAUGUAGGAGAGUUGUGAGAGAAUAUGUGUAAGAGGGUGUGUGUGAAGGAAUUUGAGAGUGUGUACCAGAAGGUGUGUGGUAAACUGUGUGAAAAUGCUUGUAGGAGUUGUGAAUGUGAGAAUUAAGUGUAAGUAUGUUGAAAUAUGUGAGAGAACAUGUGAAAGAGUACGUGAGUAUAAGUGUGAGGAUGUGAGAAUAUUGUGUGAGGGUGCAUGUGUGUGAUUAUAGAAGAGAAUGUGAAAAUGUGAGAAAAUAUGUGUGAGAGUGUAUUUGAAAGAAAGUUGUUAGAGUGCAUGUGAAAGCACAAGAAUGUGAGAGAGAGUAUGUGUGGACAGGUGUGUAUGUGAGAGAGUGGUCAUAAUUGUGCGUGAGAGCAAAUGUGUGUGAGAGCGUGAAAAUAUGUGUGAGUCUGUAAGGAGAUGUGCGUAAAAGGUGUGAGAGAACGUGUAUGAGAGUGUGUGUGAACAAAUGUGUGAGAGAAUCGUGUAAGGGAUUGUGUGUGAGAAUGAGUGUGAGAGUGUAUGUGGGAGAGUGUGUGAGUCAGUGGUUGUGAGGUUGUGAGUGAGAGAGAACACGUGUGAGUGAAUGUCAGAAUGCAUGUGUGAGAAUGUGUGUAUACGAGAGUGAGUUUGUGUGUGAGAAAAGUGUGUCAGUUAGCCCUUUGCUUCUGAUAUUUAUCCCACUAUUUCUUAACAUCGUCCCUUUUCGCAGUUAGUUUUUCUUUCUUCUUCCCAUAAUUUUGACUGUUUGUUCUUCCAUUUUGCCGGAGAAGAUCUUUGGGAGACUUGAAGUCACCAGGACCCCGGCGUGUUCAAAUGUGUCUUUGUUGUGUCGUGCCUAACAACAGUUCCCUCAGAGAUCCAACACUAGAUGCGAAUGGUUUCUCUUCAGAAUUUUGAGGACAUCGGUCCAUUCUUGUCUUGGGGAAAUUCAACGCCAUCUUGAUUUCCGAACUUUUAAAAAGUGACUCGUGUUUUUUUCCUUUCUCUUUCCUCCGGGAAAUCCUGGAUCCUGCCUUUAUCACCACCGUUCUUAAAUUGCAUGGUGAUGUCCUUGAUGUAAGUCAUUCGUUGGGUUCUUUCAAUCUGGACCUCGUGGCCUUCAAUUUGGGGGACUUUUCUGGUGUUAUUUCUUUCAUUAUUUCCUCCUCCAUUUUUUUGAUUCUUAAAAUGCUGCCCUUUAGGGAAAGAGAAGAUAGUGGCAUUUCCCAAAAGCAUCACAUCACACACCCCCACGUCCCGUCUUUCACCACCCCACGGGCGCACGCACACACGAGCACACGCACACAUGUGCACACAUACACGGGCAUGUUUGCGUGCCUACCCCGUUGCUGUUUUUCCCUUGUACGGAGCUCCGUUACCUGACUCCUAGUUAAACUGACUUAAAAUUGUGCUGCAUCUGGACACGGACUGUGGAGGAAUGUCGCAGGCGGGCACCCGGGCCCUGAUGCCCUUCACGGCGUGAGGUGCCCGAGCGAGAACGAGGAGGGCGGGGGAGGAGGGUCUGCCACCACUCCCACCGUUCCUCGGGUGUGAGCUGGGGAGUCCGGCUGGACCUGGGGGUUCGGGCUGUUGUGGGAAGGACAAGGGUUAAGGCCGGGACGAGCUCGUUUAAUCCCCAGUCCAGACCCUCACCCCCUCCUGUCUGUUAGAUGGGAUCACGGAAAACACAACGUUAGCGGCUCGCUCAAGGUCACCCCGGGAAGUGAUGGAGCCGGCGUCCGAGCCCAGGUGCGGUGGGCAGGGAGUCGGGUCACCUCUGAUGGGGCUACAGGUGCAGGUGUCGCGGUCAGAGGCAGGGGACCAAGAAGUGUCCGCUUCCCCCAGGGGUGAAGGUGAAGGAGGCAGAGCGAGGGCGGAAUGGAGUGGUGCGGAUUGACACCCCCUAGCACCCACCGGAGACCUAAGUGGAGGGCGGGUCACGGCUCGUCAGCCUGUCCCUUGAGCGGCCGCGUGUCCUGGGAAAGCCACCUGCCCUGGAUCUGUUGCCUCAUCUACAGCAGGAGUGGGGGGGGGCAGAACAUCUCCACGGCUCUUGGCGACUCUGAAGUUCUGUAAUUGGGGUGCUCGCUGUCUGCGGGACCUCGUUGUGACCUGUUCACUGAAGUUAUUUUCUGUGAAAAAGAGCAGACUUCUGUUGUAGGAGAGACAACACCGUCACGGGCCAAGCCGUGUGAGUUCCAGGGAUGUUUCCACUUCGCUUUCACGGACACACCAGUGUGAUGUCAGAUUUCAACGUUCGUCACGCCGCUGGCCCCCCCCCCCCCCCGCACUCGGUCCAUCACCACGUCCUGUGAGCCCUACCGCCCUCCGCCCCAAAUACCCGCAAAGUGCCUGUGUCUGUCUGCCCUGAGCCCAGCCCUUCGCGGGCCCCGCACCCCUAACUCCUCCAGGCCGCACAGGGUCGGGCAGCCGCGGGGAGCGCCUCUGAGCAGGGUGGCUUCCGGAGGCUCCCGGCUCUCCUUGCUCCCUUGUCCCCGCUCAGUCUCGCUUCUGCUGGGUCUCCCCCCACAGAAGGAAAGCGGCUGGGUGGCAGGGUCCUGCCUGCUUGCUCGCUGAUGUAGCCCAGCGUCUGGAGCCCUGCGGGCGCCAGGAGGCACUCGGUAAACGUGUGCAGGGGUGAAUGAGCGAACGGACCACAGCUGGCCAGGGGAGGGCACAGGUUCCCAGCGAGAGCGGGAGCCUCGCUCUCUCCCGACCCCCGCCUCUCUGACGGCUCUGAGCUGAGUAAGUGUGGACCCGCCCUCAAGCCUUAGGUACCAGGAAGUAGGUGGAAUUGAUUUUCAGAGUUAAGAAUUCGUGAAAGAUACCUAAUUGUUAUUAUCUUACAUUUCUUUCCAGUUGGUUCUAAAUUGUGUAUGAUCUGCCCAUCAGUCGAUGCUGCUAACAGCCAAAGGAAGUGGCAGGUGUAUUUUCUCCUUCAUUUCUGUCUGCAGUUCCUAGGGGCCGAUGAGCAUCCCUGUAACAAAGGCUCCUCUGUCCUGUGUCCUGUGAUGAUGCAGCAUCACCAGGGGCCACCCGUGCAGAGGUCCCCCCGUUGUCCUGGCGUCCGUGUAUCAAACACACACGGGCCCACGGCCCUUCUGCCACUCACGGACCCCCCACCAGCACAGGGACAGGGUCCAGUGGGAGGCAUAUCAUGUAGGGCGCAGGCAAAAUAGAACAGGCCACCGCAGGGUCUGGUGACGGGCACUGGGUGCACACGGGGUGGCUGAGUCUGAGGUUUUAGGGGGACGUGAGCCUCUACCUGAAUCUGCGGACACGGGGCAGAGUAUCCCCACGGCACACGCGUUAACAGCACUGCCACACGCUGGCAGACCCGGAAGCCAGAGGAGCAGGCGUUUACUCUGAGCCCCUGGAUGGAUGCCGCGCCCAGAACCCGGGGGUCUUACAAAAGAAGGAAGAAACAGGCAAGUGCCAGGACCCCGCUGGGGAAGAUGCUGCAGGUCAGUGAAGUGAUCGUGGCGCACUGCCAGUUUCUGGCCCUCUCCGCGCCUGCGUAACCUUGCUUAGAGGAUAAGAGCAAAUAUACAGAUGCAUCUGGGACUGGGCAGGUGCCGAGGCGCGUGGGUGCCAGGACAUGUGACCUUGCAGCAGCAGCAGAGAGCCAGGCAUUCCUCAGAAGUACGUCUGGAAGGUCAGCGCGUCCUAUAAAUUGGAGAGAGGCAAGUGGGUGAGGCUGGGGACCUUGGGUCACGGCCGGAGCCUAGUUCCUCCAGUGUGUUCCGGGCAGAGCAGAUACGGCCAGGGAACCCUGGCUGGACUGCUCUGCCCUUGGCUUGCCUUUGGGGGGUGGAUUUGGAGAGUUCCGGAGAACCGCCCCUCUCUGUGUCCCCUGUGUCCCCCUGCCCUUGUCGGGGGAUGCCCCGGAUGGAGCCCCUCCCACCACCCCCGCCAGCACCUCGGUGUCUGCCCCGGAGAGCUCUGGACACUCAGGCCUGGGUUAGCGUCAUGCAGACAACCCUUCUUUACUCUUGCUGCGUGAGUUGGUGGAAACAAGAAGGUGACAUGAAGAGUGCAUUUGGACACCAACAGGGUGGGAGGCACAAGCGGCAGGCGGUCACGUCCCGUGCGGCCUGCGCACGGGCUUCCUCACAGGGCACGUUAGGGGCGAGGUCCCCACCUUCAUCGCACCAAUAGUUGGGAAUCCCUCCCCUGGUUACAAACAUACCUUGGUUUUACUUGAAAAAUAACAAAUGAUUUAACCAAGUGUCUCUCGCCUAGGAUGUUAUGAAGUGAUUUGGGAAGAAAUGAAAAUAUAUGGCUGUGUCUUCUAAAAGGGUCACCUGCUGACCCACAGAGGGUGAGAGAUUUUCACCUGUGCUUCUGAACUUUUCCUUUCUCUCCUGCUCUGUUUUGCGCUGCACGUGUCCACCCAUUUCCUCUGCGGCACCGGGCCUCCCGCUGAUUAUUAACGGAGACUGCAGGGAAACCGUUCGGGAAGGACACCUCUGAGGGAUCGUUACAUCUGCACAGAGUCUGACUUAAGGAGGGUGAGUGAUUCAUCCAUGUGGGCACUGUGCACAAAUAGGUUUUUUCUGGGUGUGACACUGGACCGUUGUCUUCAGACUUCAAGAGGAAACUGCUUGUGAUAUGUAGACGAAAAUGGAGAACAGGCUUCUAACCAGGACAGCCUGAGAGCUCGUGACGAAUUUGACCCUGUGCACAAUAGAGCUCAUUCACACUUGAGGGCAAUUGAAAUGUCAAAUAAUUCUUAAAGCAUAAUGCGUGGCUUGUUGAUCCCUGCAGAAGUCUUCAUGCUCUUUGUACGGUGGAGAAGAUGGGCGAGGAGCAGGGUGGAGCGAGAAGAGACACUUGUCCAGAGGCUCCUGUCCCCAACCCCCCCCCCCCGCCCCCCGUGUGUGCCCUGCUGCCCUGGGAGCAUGCCGGAGACACACGAGUGUUUCCGGACCAGCAGUGAAUAGAGGAAGCGGGGCCCAGCAUCUUCGCGGGUUAGAGAUGUUGUACCAAGUUUACCCGUGGGAGGCAAUGAAGUUCGAAUGAAUUGCUAAUUAGUAUCUACAGCAGUGUUUUUGGUGAUCAGUACAUAAAAUACUCUUACAGACCGCUAAGGAAAAAGGCAGCCCAAUAACUCUGCUCCAAAAGAAAAGUAGAUUAAGAUCUGAACAAGUAUUCGCAAAAGAAAGAGUUCAAAAGGCAGGUGAACGAAUGGAAAAUACCCUGAUUCACAAACUGCUAAAGAAACGUGCAAAAACGGUGUUGUGUUCUGCACUUUGGUGGGCUCUACAGACAGCAGGCUUCCCCUACACCGUAACGCCCAGCUACCGAAGGUCUGGGAAGCGGCCCGCGUGUGCUCCUGGCGGGAACACGAGUGGGCGGCACUGUUCAGACGGGCUUGGCUCCAGCCCCGUCACAUCUGUGCACGUAGUCGACCCUGAGGGGGACGUGGGGGUGAGUACGCGGCGUCACCCCACCAAUGUGCUCCACGAGAUGAAGGCAGAAAUAACCCAAGUAUUGGGUGACAGGGACACGGCAGAGACUGCUAGCUGUUCUGGCUCCCCCCUUCCUCCCACAGUGAGAGGACUUGGCCACGUUCAUUUUUUCUUACUGGAUCCGUGUGCACCAAGUUGAAAUAAUCAGUAUCCUGGGUUCAUGAAAAAUCGCCACGGUUAGCCUGUGCGUGCGUGUUUUUUUAAGUUUGCGUCUUUGUAGCAACGAGGUAAGCGCCCGUGAGCACAAGGCACAGCGCGAAGGCCAGAUCCUCGCCAAUAACUGUGUUAGCCCACGUGCCCGCUCGUCCUGGCUGAGGGGACCCUGGCUCUUCUCUCCCUUGUGUGCAUCAUGUCAUGUUACAUGUGUGCAUAUAUUCCAGAAGGUAGAUUUCUAGUUGAUUUUUAACUUUGCAAAAUAGUGGCCUGUGGUAUGUCGUCUUUGAAACUUACUUUACAUGCUGUUGUAUGUUCCUGUAAUUUCUCCACUUUGACUGUUUGUGUCUUCUGCUUAUAUUAUAAUAUACUAAUCACGUUCCUCUCGAUGGCUAUGUGAAAUGUCUCCUGGUUUUUUCUCCCAGGAGCAGAGCCACUGUUCAAGAAUGAAUAUGACAUUCCCAUGUACAUCUGCAGGUGUGCGUUUGCAGUUUCUCUCUGUUGUGUUUGUUCUCUGGGGCUGCCAUACGGGGACCUGUUCCCUCAGUCUGGGGGCCAGGAGUCUGAAGUCAAGGCAGGACUGAGCUCUAGGGGAAGGAUCCUUCCUUGUCUCUGUCAGCUUCUGGUGGUUCCUGGCGAUCGAUGAUCCCAUUUAUAUGACAUGUUUGAGAUGACAUUAAAAAAAAUUUUUUUUAAUGUC
This is a long non-coding RNA of Acinonyx jubatus (cheetah), 12340 nucleotides long. RefSeq lists it as uncharacterized. NCBI's taxonomy places the organism in Eukaryota, Metazoa, Chordata, Mammalia, Carnivora, Felidae. The transcript is spliced from 5 exons. The record is from RefSeq and is a predicted model, not a curated record.